UCUACAUUACCCAGGUCUACAUUACUUUACACAUUACCACACAGGUACACACAGGUACACACGGGUACACACAGCUACACACAGCUACACAGAGCUACACACAGGUACACAUGGGUACACACAGCUACACACAGCUACACACAGCUACACACAGGUCUACAUUACUCUACAUUACUUUACACAGCUACACACAGGUACACACAGGUACACACAGGUACACACAGGUACACACGGGUACACACAGGUACACACAGGUACACACGGGUACACACAGGUACACACAGCUACACACAGGUACACACGGGUACACACAGGUACACACAGCUACACACAGGUACACACGGGUACACACAGGUACACACAGGUACACACGGGUACACACAGCUACACACAGGUACACACAGGUACACACGGGUACACACAGCUACACACAGGUACACACGGGUACACACAGCUACACACAGCUACACACAGGUACACACGGGUACACACAGCUACACACAGGUACACACAGGUACACACAGGUACACACAGGUACAUUACUCUACAGAAGGAUGACAGAAUAUCUCCUAAAGAACACGUCUUACCUUCAGAUACAAAAGCAUCUUUGAAUGAGAGACAAAAAUAAGGGACGUGUGAGUCAGUUGUUAGAAUUAUUUCAAAAGCUUUUCCACGAGGUGGAGAAAGUAAGGAAACAGCCCAAGUGUUGCACCUCUAAUGUGUAAUGAAGCAAUGAAAAACUCUGUGAGUGUGUGUGUGUGUGUGUGUGUGUGUGUGUGUGUGUGUGUGUGUGUGUGUGUGUGUUUGUUUUCCGUUGACCAUAUUUCUCACAAAGUAAACACAUCAAAUGAAGCCAUUUAUCCAUUUGUCCAACUUUUCAUCCCCCAAAAAUGUGUAGUUGCAUCAUACAAGCGUUGAAGUGCAGUUUUCUGAAUAGUGACUGUAAAGCCGUCCUUCUGUCAUCGGAGUGGAAAUAAAAGCUUUUAUUAAAACAAGCUUCGCGGACCAGAGGCACUGCGCAUGUCGAAGCAUUAACGGGGGGCACCUCAGUGCUUCCAAAUUGGCCCAUAAAAACAAAGUCCAACGUAACAGAAACCUAAAUCUAAUAUAAAAGAAGAAUGCUGAAAACACGCAGGCCGGAGGAGCCUGUAAAUCACCUGAUUAGUCCUUCGCAGGUACGGUAAACAGAAUAAAAAAUAAUGGCUGUGUGCGCGGCCCAUGCGGGGCGCUUUGGUGUGUGAACCGGCCGGUGUGCGCGUGCACAGAGUAACAAGUCGUACUCGUAGUAAUUCUGUGGAAUUCCUGUGGUCCUGCAGCAGCCGGCACCUUUGGAUUUACAGGUGAGCAAACACCAGGUGACUUUCUGUGUGUGCAAAAAGAGACACAACGAGACAAAGGGAAAUUUACAGCUCAAGAAACUGUGCGUUGCUUCUGAGGGAGGAGGCUUAAAUCACAGUAAUAUACUGUAAUAAUAUAAAUACACCGAGGCGUUGUAAAUGCUCAGCAUGUCGCCAAUGAAACAGAAGAAUUCCUGGUUGCAGCUUGAAUGAAUAAAGUGGCCGAAUGCUUCCCUGGAAUCAAGUCUUCACACUUUCGGUGCUCAGUUUUAAAAGCAGGACCGUUGUUGUAGUUUCAGUCUAACGGCGGAACAACAAUAUAUUCAACAGCAAUGUUGAGCAAAAAGAAAAAACUUCUUUCUAAGAGAUAUUUUGUUGUUCAUAAUUACUUACUCCACAAUUAGCAGUUAGAAUUUAGAUGCAGAAAUGUCCCUCCAGUGAAUAAUGCUGAAUCCAUUCCAGACACAAUCUCAGAUGUUGAAGGUCAACGAUCGGAACUUAAAGUGACGUUACUGGUACUUAAACGUGAAGAUUCAACCGGUUUGAACCCAUCAGACUGUUAAACGCUCAGAUCCACCAGUCAGCCGUUUCAUGGUGAUUUGUGAUGAUGGUCCGUAACUGGGAGAGAUUAAGACGGAUGUUUCAUGCUGUUAGUAAAAUAUAUGUGUUUUUCAUUUUGUUUUUUCUUCUGGUCUGUGAGUUCUGGGUUUGACCCUUUGACUGUGAGACAAACUCGCAUUCAAAGAAAACUCGGAUAUUUAUUGGAUUUGGACUUUUCCGAUUUUCAGAGCGGAGAGGUGCCCACUGUGACGAUAAACAUGCUUCUAAUUAAUAAAAGGAAGGAAGCUGGUCAUUCUUUGGUCAUAAAAUCCAUUGAGUUUGACAAAGAGUGUCUGGAAUUUCUGGACCACAAAUUGCCAUGCAGACGUCUCAGAGUGCAGAAAGACAAGGCCGGAGAGACAAAAGAACGGAGAAGAGGGACGGGGAGGGGAGUGAGAGGAAUAAACACAAGAAUGAAAUGGAAAGCAGAUGGCAAGAGAGACGGCUGACAGAAAUUCUAACGCCCCGAGAAGCACGUUGAAGUCAGAAAGGUGGUAAAUGCACAUUUUCACAACUCAGGUACAAUUCUCAGUUACAGGAAAUAUCAUUUUCUGUCAUCGACAACAAUAAAUAACCAGAGAUAUUUGGACUCAUAGACAGGAGCUAUGCAACCCAGGGCUCAACACCUUUAAGAGUGCAGAGGGAGUGAGAAAACGGAGAUAUAUAUAUAUAUAUGACUUAGUGUGUCAGCACAUGAGCUCAUGACUGCAGCCUCACUGUAACAUCGGUGUUAAGUGCUCGUAAAUUCCGCUUUGCUCGGCAUUACCUCACAUUGUGGGGGAGCAAGAAAUUAAGUUAAUAAUAUCGCUCUUAAGACUUAAACUCUCAUUUUACUGUUUUUCAUGAAACAUUGUAAAAUGGGACUGGGGAGGUGGGGGGGGGGGGCAGAAAGGCAGCCGCUGCCCCCCACUGGUGCACGUCGUGACAGACGGAUUGUCCACAGCAGCCUGGAGGUACUGAAUUCUGCUGCAGGGUUAGGGUUAGGGGUUAGGGUUAGGGGCCACCCGGCAUGCGAGCGCUUCACCGUGCAACUCCCCCCCUACAACUCCUACAUGAUCAUAAAUGUGACAAAAUCACUUCUGUGAGUUAGUUUAAGGGGUGUUUAGUGCUAAAUGCUCGUUGGAAAGAGCUGCUUUUCUUCUUCUCAUCACUUGAAACACAAAGUGUUUGAACUUAUUGCAUACUCCAUCUGCUCCACACUGCUAGAGCCGCCUCUCUCUCCUCUGUCCUCGUCCUUCUGGACCUCUCUGCUGCAUUUGACACAGUCAACCACCAGAUCCUGAUCUCCUCCCUUCAGGAACUUGGUGUCUCAGGCUCUGCUCUCUCCCUUCUCUCGUCCUACCUCGACGGCCGCACCUACCGGGUAACCUGACGACGAUCUGUGUCGGAACCGUGUCCUCUUACUACGGGAGUUCCUCAGGGUUCCGUCCUGGGUCCCCUCCUCUUCUCGCUCUACAACAACUCUCUCGGCGCUGUCAUUCGCUCGCAUAGCUUCUCCUACCACAGCUAUGCCGAUGACACCCAACUAAUUCUCUCCUUCCCUCCCUCGGACACCCAGGUGGCGGCUCGGAUCUCUGCCUGUCUGACUGACAUCUCUCAGUGGAUGUCCGCCUACCAUCUGAACAUCAACCUCGACAAGACUGAACUACUUCUCUUUCCAGAAAAAGACUCUCCAACCCAGGACUUGACUGUCAACUUUGGAAACUCCGUGUUAACGCCCACUUUGACCGCUAAGAACCUCGGCGUCACACUCGACAGCCAACUCUCCCUGACUCCCAACAUCACUGCGACAACGCGAUCCUGUAGAUACACGCUCUACAACAUCAGGAGAAUACGUCCUCUUCUCACUCAGAAGGCAGCGCAGGUACUGAUUCAGGCUCUUGUCAUCUCCCGCCUGGACUACUGCAACUCCCUCCUGGCUGGUCUCCCUGCCACCGCCAUUCGACCUCUGCAGCUCAUCCAGAAUGCAGCUGGUCUUUAACCUUCCUAAAUUCUCCCACACUACUCCACUCCUCCGCUCUCUUCACUGGCUACCGGUGGCCGCCCGCAUCCAGUUCAAAACAUUGGUGCUCAGGUACCAUGCUGUGAAUGGAUCGGGUCCAGUUUACAUCCAGGACCUGGUCAAACCCUACAUCCCAACCCGCACUCUCCGCUCUGCAUCUGCAAAACUGCUCGUCCCUCCCUCACUGAGAGCAAAACACUCGACUAGAUCAGUGGUCCACAACCACCGGGCCGCGGACCGGUACCGGUCCGAGGACCGUUUGGUACCGGGCGGCACCACAGAAAGCUUAUUUUUAUUUUUUUUCUGAAAAAUGUUUUAUUUUGAAAAUUGACCGGAUUUUCUCCUAAUUAUGUGCGCUCGUCCCUCUGACAUAUUCCCCACGCGGCACCAGGCGUUUUUCUUCACGUUUACAAUUGUCCUCUUACCGUGCACGUGCACGGCAGCGCGUGCUUUGGAUAAAAGCGUCAGCUAAAUGACAUGUAAUGUAAUGUAAUGUAAUCUGCUCCUCUGGAUUACAACCCGGUUUGUAUGUUCUCCCCAGAAGGUGUGCGUCCUUCCCGUUGUCCAUGCAGGUUAUGCUACAGCGUGGGCUGGCACAGGCUCCGCCCCCUGACCCAAAGGUAGGUGUGAAUAGAGGAUGGACAUGAUGCAAAUAACAUGAUGCUAAAACUGACGCGAUGUGUCGUUGAUUGGAGGGAAUGUUCAAUGAUCUGAUCACCGUGCGGACCCAGAGUCAGUCCUUCCUCUGGUGGGUCGGCCACCAAUCAACGUCCUUGUGAACUCUACCAGGCUCUGCUUUCACAGCUGCUCCACUAGAUUACACCUUUUAUUUUCCUAGACUGGGGGCUAAAUAUCUCCCGUUUGCUUAACAGGCCCCCAUGGUCGCUUAGGCAAAUGUGCAAUCGGCGUGUGUGUGUGUGUGUGUGUUUGGGUGCGUGGGGGGGGGGAGACUACCUGGCAUCCAGAUGUGGAACAUGGAGUUCUGCUAUUGUUUCCCAUGUAGUGUGCAGAGAGGUGGCGUUACUGCGUUGUAGCAGAAGACAGGUGAGAACAGCCCCCUCAGGAUGCGUCAGGUAGCGUUGCUAUGGUAACCGUAGCAGCAGUAACGGUAAUGGUAGUCAUGGAGCCGGUUAAAGUGUAUCCAGUACCAAACUAAAUUGAAUUCUAAAAAUGUAAUUUUAUGAUUAUCUCUGGUUCAAAGUAAAACAUUUUAACACAGGAAGUGGAACGUUGGAAUGCACACAUGAUGUGAUUUGUAUUUCCAGCAAAGUCAGAUAAAACUUUUCUGUUCAUACAGCCAAUUAACAAUUAUUAAAAUCAAUGGGCGUUGAUGCUUUAUUCUGUGUAGCACGUACAGGAUAGAACAUGCACAUAAUGCAGAACAGUUUAUUGUCAUUUGGAACGAACAUUCAGCGGGAAGAAUGAUGAAUCCAAAACCAACCAGUUUGGUCUGUGUGGAUAUUUAGCGAGAAGGACGUCAUAAAAACCUCAUGGCACAGACCCACCCCCCUCCCUCCCCCUUUUUCCUUUCUUUUACUUUUUCUGUCAAAUGUAUGCAUGCAUUUGAUAUUAUGUCUACUUCCCCGUCACCUGAAGGU
This is a long non-coding RNA of Gasterosteus aculeatus aculeatus (three-spined stickleback), 5537 nucleotides long. The record is from Ensembl. Lineage: Eukaryota; Metazoa; Chordata; Actinopteri; Perciformes; Gasterosteidae.